GCCCGCGUAGCUCAGUCGGUAGCAGCGCAUGCAUGGUAAGCAUGAGGUCAUCGGUUCGAUUCCGAUCGCGGGCUCCA
This 77-nucleotide transfer RNA is filed under the name Bacillota bacterium. Its description in RNAcentral is "Firmicutes bacterium (anaerobic digester metagenome) tRNA-Thr". It matches the Rfam family "tRNA". Rfam says of the family: Transfer RNA (tRNA) molecules are approximately 80 nucleotides in length. Their secondary structure includes four short double-helical elements and three loops (D, anti-codon, and T loops). The record is from RNAcentral. Lineage: Bacteria; Bacillati; Bacillota.